GUUCGAUCAUGGCUCAGAUUGAACGCUGGCGGGAUGCUUUACAUGCCAAGUCGAACGGCAGCACGGACUUCGGUCUGGUGGCGAGUGGCGAACGGGUGAGUAAUGUAUCAGGACAUUUUACAAUGUGGGGGAUAACUGCGAAAGCGUAGCUAAUACCACAUACGCCCUUCAGGAAAGCAGGGGACCUUCGGGCCUCGCCUGUAGAGCAGCCGAUAUCCGGUUGGCUAGUUGGUGGGGUAACGGCUCCUGCGGGCGGCAGUCCAGCGGCUGGUUUGAGAGGACGACCAGCCCGCACUGGGACUGAGACACGGCCCCAGACUCCUACCGGGGAGGAGCUGUUUGAUGGGGAAUUUUGGGCAAUGGGGGAAACCCUGAUCCAGCCAUCCCGCGUGUGCGAUGAAGGCCUUCGGGUUGUAAAGCACUUUUGGCAGGAAAACGGCCUGGAUAUUACCCCGUGCAGCUGACAAUACCUGCAGAAUAAGCACCGGCUAACUACGUGCCAGCAGCGCGGUAAUACGUAGAGGUGCAAGCGUUAAUCAGGUGUACUGGGCGUAAAGCGUGCGCAGGCGGUUCGGAGAAGAAGAUGUGAAAUCCCCAGAGCUUAACUGGAACCGUUUUUAACGCUACCGAGCUAGAGUGUGUCAGAGGAAGUGGAAUUCCGCGAUGUAGCAGUGAAAUGCGUAGAUAUGCGGAGGAACACCGAUGGCGAAGGCAGCACUCUGGGAUAACGCUGACGCUCAUGCACGAAAAGCGUGGGGGGCAAACAGGAUUAGAUACCCGGUAGUCACGCCCUAAACGAUGUCAACUAGCUGUUGGGGCCUUCGAGCCUUGGUAGAAGCGCAACUAACGCGUGAAGUUGACCGCCUGGGAAGUACGGUCGCAAGAUUAAAACUCAAAGGAAUUGACGGGGACCCGCACAAGCGGUGGAUGAUGUGGAUUAAUUCGAUGCAACGCGAAAAACCUUACCUACCCUUGACAUGUCUGGAAUCCCGAAGAAAUUUAGGAGUGCUCGCAAAGAGAACCGGAACACAGGUGCUGCAUGGCUGUCGUCGGCUCGUGUCGUGAAGAUGUUGGGUUAAGUCACAACGAAGGCGCAACCCUUGUGCAUUGGUUGCUACGAAAGGGCACUCUAAUGAGACUGCCGGUGACAAACCGGAGGAAGGUGGGGAUGACGUCAAGUCCUCCGGCCCUUAUGGGUAGGGCUUCACACGUCAUACAAUGGUCGGGACAGAGGGUCGCCAACCCGCGAGAGAGGAGCCAAUCCCGGAAACCCGAUCGUAGUCCGGAUCGCAGUCUGCAACUCGACUACGUGAAGUCGGAAUCUGGUAAUCGCCCGGAUCAGCAUGUCGCGGUGAAUACGUUCCCGGGUCUUGUACACACCGCCCGUCACACCAUGGGAGUGGGUUUACCAAGUAGUUAUAUUCUAACCGCCGGAGGCGAUUACCACGGUAGGAUUCAUGACUGGGGUGAAGUCGCUAACCGGGUAG
Molecule: ribosomal RNA, 1487 nt
Filed under: uncultured Bordetella sp.
Lineage: Bacteria; Pseudomonadati; Pseudomonadota; Betaproteobacteria; Burkholderiales; Alcaligenaceae
Description: partial 16S-23S ribosomal RNA intergenic spacer
Rfam family: Bacterial small subunit ribosomal RNA
Source: RNAcentral